ACGUUUUUACUUUUCAUGCAAUACCUCAUUUUUGUCGAAAGUGAGGCAUGACUAUAUUCCGUUUUUCAAGUGUUCGUAAGUAUAUGUGGUCGCCACUGUAUAUAUAUAUACGAUUGGACCGGCUUCUUCACCUACAAAUUUGUGUAAUCGUAGCAUAACUCGCAGGUUAAGAAAUUUGACACAAUAAUGUAUCAAUUUUCAAGACCAGUCACAAACCUUGUACAAAUCAAAUGACUUUCUGCAGGAUCGGCAAUCUAUUCGUGAUGCACAUCAAGUAACAUCAAUGCCGGUGAGGAAGGAUCAAGCUUCAUUCGGCUGCAAACGGGAUCACCAAAGAAAAUUUUACGAAGACCAUGCAUUUCGUCAAAGUUGGCAGUUUUCAAUAUGACAAACAUGGCCUCACAUUUAAAAAGUUACAGUGGUGAAGGUGCGUCAAACCUAAAAUCGAGGAACAUUAUCUUAAUGUAGAGGUUUCAAACUUUGAUAUUAAGAAGAGUAGUAUAUUUAGUUUAAUUCUUUUUAUUUAUUUAAAAAACGAAGACGCAAUAAAAGAUCUGAUUGGCAUCAAAACAGAUGCAAAAUGAAAAAGUGGGACAACUUUUGGAUGGGGAUUUUAAGGAAACUUAUCAAACAUUCAAUUGUUGAUGUAUUUUCAAUAAAGUAAUGCUAUUUACUUUCAGCUAUAUAUUGUACAAAGACUUACUCAUAAAUUUGUUGAAAGCAGAUGUGUUUUAUUAUUUUUCAUUGGAGAAGUAAAAGUAAACUUAAGCAUUGACAAGCGUGUUGAUAUUUCAGUGGAAAUUAAUUUUCUAUUACAUUAUAAAGAUCGUAUGAAACAUAAUAAAAAUUUUGUACACCUGAAUGAGUAUUAAAUUGCAUGUCAAAAUAAAA
Molecule: non-coding RNA, 891 nt
Organism: Megalopta genalis
Lineage: Eukaryota; Metazoa; Arthropoda; Insecta; Hymenoptera; Halictidae
Source: RefSeq, a predicted model, not a curated record